GGGGCAGAUUAUGGCAUCGAGCCUUAUCUGAAGUUAGUCAAACUCUGAAAAGAACUUCUGCAAGAUACUGCAAGAACUUUGGACUUAACUCAAGCUAGCAGACAAUGUUCAGGACAGGAUGACAGUCAAUUAUCAGCAGCUUUUUCUCCACAGAGUUCCUUUUGUAUUUACAUCAUCAAUUCCAAUUUUGGACUUGAAAAGGAGACAGUGAUCCAGACAGUGAUUUCCUCCAAUAUCUUAUCUCCCCGUGUCUGUGUGUGUCUUCAACAGGCAGACCCAUGGGGUUACAGUCUUGCAAGCCUUGCAACUCCAGCUUGCAAAGUAUAGAGGAAUGCAGACCUGCUGGUGGCUGCUCAUGUGUGUGUGAAGACGGCACACAUUGCUCUGAACGGUGCUGUGACAUCUGCUGCCAGAUGUGUGUAGACGUGUGCUCUGGCUUGUGUUCAGGAGACUGCAGCUACACCUUCUGUACCCUCUGCCUCAGCCUGGCACAGAACUGUGUCUCAUUUUUUACCACCCAACAAACGGAAACAUCAGAGGCACAACAUAUUGAAGAGAGUCUGACUCCAUCCUUCCACAUUGGCUGUGAAGCCAAGCUAUAUGCUGCUGUCUAAUGAGAACGGAGAUGAGGUGUGAAAAGAGCUUUCUGCAGAGCGCCAAUGUGGAUUUAAAAAUUCCCAAGUUUAAGGUUAUCCCCACCAUCAUGGCUGGACAAAAGCUCUGUGAAUAAAACAAGCGUUCCUGGCUCACAUCCAUGUGAGAAAGAGAGAGGCCGUUCUUCUUAACACGCAAGACGCCAUCUUUCCAGUCUCAUCAGUUCAUGUGGAUGGAUUUAUUUCUUGUCUAUCUGGA
Long non-coding RNA from Etheostoma cragini (Arkansas darter), 852 nucleotides. RefSeq lists it as uncharacterized. The record is from RefSeq and is a predicted model, not a curated record. The transcript is spliced from 3 exons. Lineage: Eukaryota; Metazoa; Chordata; Actinopteri; Perciformes; Percidae.